RNAcentral lists this ribosomal RNA (75 nucleotides) under Podosphaera macrospora. RNAcentral describes it as "partial 28S ribosomal RNA". It matches the Rfam family "Eukaryotic large subunit ribosomal RNA", at positions 11 to 85 of the family's 3401-position model. Lineage: Eukaryota; Fungi; Ascomycota; Leotiomycetes; Helotiales; Erysiphaceae. The record is from RNAcentral.
UCAGGUAGGGAUACCCGCUGAACUUAAGCAUAUCAAUAAGCGGAGGAAAAGAAACCAACAGGGAUUACCUCAGUA